UGAAGAAAGGCCUUCGGGUUUGGUAAAAGUCAACUUUUUAUCCGGGUUAACGAAAUACCACGGGUUAAUAACCUAUGGGCUGACGUACCGAGGAAUAAGCACGCUAACUUCGUGC
This 115-nucleotide ribosomal RNA is filed under the name uncultured bacterium. RNAcentral describes it as "partial 16S ribosomal RNA". The record is from RNAcentral.